Molecule: non-coding RNA, 205 nt
Organism: Pelobates cultripes (western spadefoot toad)
Lineage: Eukaryota; Metazoa; Chordata; Amphibia; Anura; Pelobatidae
Source: the annotation of a GenBank genome assembly
CAUAAUAAUGCUUCCUUUGUCAUGCGAUUUAUGGGAAGCUUUCCUCUGCUGCUUAGGUCGGUGCAAUGAAUGCAUUGAUUUGCAAGGAUGGGGUUAACAUCCACUUGUCUUCUCUCCCUCUCUUUCUCUCUCUCUCCCUGCUUGCAAGCCUAUUGGAGGGGGCUCUGCUACUGGGGACAUGACGUCACCUGUCCAGUGAUUCUCA